GCUUACGGCCACACCACCCUGAGCGCGCCCGAUCUCGUCUGAUCUCGGAAGCUAAGCAGGGUCGGGCCUGGUUAGUACUUGGAUGGGGAGACCGCCUGGAAUACCAGGUGCCGUAAGCU
This 119-nucleotide ribosomal RNA is filed under the name Lates calcarifer (barramundi perch). The record is from RNAcentral. Lineage: Eukaryota; Metazoa; Chordata; Actinopteri; Centropomidae.